RNAcentral lists this non-coding RNA (30 nucleotides) under Rattus norvegicus (Norway rat). The record is from RNAcentral. Lineage: Eukaryota; Metazoa; Chordata; Mammalia; Rodentia; Muridae.
UGCUUGUAUCUAGGGAUCACUCUCAUAUUC